GGGACGUAGAACUCGGGAACUGGUGCACGGAAUGAGCAGAACUACCGAAGCAAUCCGUGACACUUAUACACGCCGCAUAUUUGUUUAUAUACUGGAUUCUAACAUAUCUACUAAUGUAUUGUACAUAUCAUUCUUAGAAUAUCUUGUGUACAUUAAUCUGGUGUAGAUACAUACAGAUUCCAUUUGGAUUACUUUUACAGUGCUAUUUGUGUUGUUAAUUGGAUUAAUUCUGACAUGUCUUAAUUUCUUUCUUUUUACUUUUGGAUUAUGUGUGUAUUGUUUUGUAUUGCUCAGUAUUGCUGCUCUGUUGUUGCUAGAAACACAAGCAGUUCCCUGCACCUGCGAUAACAUCUGCAAAUCUGUGUACCCGACCAAUAAUCUUUGAUUUGAUUUGUUCCAUGAUCUGUUAUUGAAGGUUAUUAUCUUGGAGGGGCCUGACAACUGAUUGACAGCUUGAAGAGAAUAGAUCAUGGAGACAGCAUCAAUCAGGAAGGGCUUUCAGUGUAGCCUUCCAUAUGUAGUUGGUGCUGACUCCCUAGAGUUUGAAGAGGAGAGAAAGGGAUUAAUGCAGAAGAGUGACUAAACCCCCAAAAGUGAAGUGAGAGGACUGAAGAGGAGGACAGAAAAGACGGUCUUCGAGUCAUUUUCUAACUGACCCACCCCACCACAGCGAGUCAGACCAGUAAAAUAUGCAUGCUUACAAAGCUAAUGGCAUAUCAGCAUAUAGAUGUAGCCUAUUUCAGGGAGAAGAGUUGUGGAGAACGUCAGUUUGGUGAUUUGUCUGUGAUCUGAUCACAGUAUAAACAGAUCAAUCCCUUGUCUCAUUGAUUGGACUCCAGGUUAGCUGACUCCAGACUCCAAUUAGCUUUUGGAGAAGUCAUUAGCCUAGGGGUUCACAUACUUUUACAACCUACACUGUGAAUGUUUAAACGAUGUAUUCAAUGUAGACAAGAAAAAUACAAUAAUUAGUGUAUUAUUAGCUUAAGCACACUGUUUGUCUAUUUUUGUGACUUAGAUGAAGAUCAGAUCAAAUUUUAUGACCAAUUUAUGCAGAAAUCCAGGUAAUUCCAAAGGGUUCAUAUACUUUUUCUUGCCACUGUAGCUAAAAAUAACCUAGUGCCAGCUUGUCUCUCUAUCUCUGGCAUUUUGGUCGUGUGUACUGCAGACCCUUAAAGAUGCUCAAUUGACCGAAAGGAUUCUCUUGGGCAACUCAGAGUUGCAAGACCCUUGGUUUCAGACUAGACAUUUACAGUGUAUGUUUUCC
Molecule: long non-coding RNA, 1264 nt
Filed under: Salmo salar (Atlantic salmon)
Lineage: Eukaryota; Metazoa; Chordata; Actinopteri; Salmoniformes; Salmonidae
Description: lncRNA (ENSSSAG00000117269.1)
Source: RNAcentral